This 139-nucleotide small nuclear RNA is filed under the name Nematostella vectensis (starlet sea anemone). RNAcentral's name for it is "U4 spliceosomal RNA". It matches the Rfam family "U4 spliceosomal RNA". Rfam says of the family: U4 small nuclear RNA (U4 snRNA) is a component of the major U2-dependent spliceosome. The structure of U4 snRNA from yeast and human has been reported. The record is from Rfam by way of RNAcentral. Lineage: Eukaryota; Metazoa; Cnidaria; Anthozoa; Actiniaria; Edwardsiidae.
AGCUUUGCGCAGUGUCAUUACCGUAGCCUAUGAGGUCCAUCCGAGGCGCGGUUAUUGCUGAUUGAAAACUUUUCCCAAUACCCCGCGAGACGACUUGAAACAUAGUCGGCUUUGCAAUUUUUGUGGGCCCUGCUUAGGG